RNAcentral lists this ribosomal RNA (752 nucleotides) under uncultured Herbaspirillum sp. RNAcentral's name for it is "bacterial SSU rRNA". It matches the Rfam family "Bacterial small subunit ribosomal RNA", at positions 67 to 812 of the family's 1533-position model. The record is from RNAcentral. Lineage: Bacteria; Pseudomonadati; Pseudomonadota; Betaproteobacteria; Burkholderiales; Oxalobacteraceae.
CGGCAGCACGGGUGCUUGCACCUGGUGGCGAGUGGCGAACGGGUGAGUAAUAUAUCGGAACAUACCCUAGAGUGGGGGAUAACGUAGCGAAAGUUACGCUAAUACCGCAUACGAACUAAGGUUGAAAGUGGGGGAUCGCAAGACCUCAUGCUCAUGGAGUGGCCGAUAUCUGAUUAGCUAGUUGGUGAGGUAAAGGCUCACCAAGGCGACGAUCAGUAGCUGGUUUGAGAGAACGACCAGCCACACUGGAACUGAGACACGGUCCAGACUCCUACGGGAGGCAGCAGUGGGGAAUUUUGGACAAUGGGGGCAACCCUGAUCCAGCAAUGCCGCGUGAGUGAAGAAGGCCCUCGGGUUGUAAAGCUCUUUUGUCAGGGAAGAAACGGUCUACUCUAAUACAGUGGGCUAAUGACGGUACCUGAAGAAUAAGCACCGGCUAACUACGUGCCAGCAGCCGCGGUAAUACGUAGGGUGCAAGCGUUAAUCGGAAUUACUGGGCGUAAAGCGUGCGCAGGCGGUUUUAUAAGACAGAGGUGAAAUCCCCGGGCUCAACCUGGGGACUGCCUUUGUGACUGUAAGGCUAGAGUGUGUCAGAGGGGGGUAGAAUUCCACGUGUAGCAGUGAAAUGCGUAGAUAUGUGGAGGAAUACCGAUGGCGAAGGCAGCCCCCUGGGAUAACACUGACGCUCAUGCACGAAAGCGUGGGGAGCAAACAGGAUUAGAUACCCUGGUAGUCCACGCCCUAAACGAUGU